UGUCAUUAAACAUCAUUUCUCAACUUGAGUCAAUUGAAAUGUUUACCGAUUAUUUUGUCUUUUCUGCAACUUGACUCAUAUUUUUAUUUGUGUUUAAUUUUCUUGUAACAACAAUCAAAAGAUUAUUCCAAUUACCGUCUGGACCAUGGGGACUUCCAAUCGUUGGUUAUUAUCUAUUCCUGAAGAACGAAAGUUACCUUCAGUUUGAUUCUUUACCCAUAGAUUCAAAGUCGAUUAAUGUAACGUGGAUCGUGUUUACCAAACUUACAAAGUUGCUGGGUUGAAUAUUACAUUCAUUCGAUAUGACCCAAGUACAAGCUGUUGAUUGAUGAACUUUAAACGUUUGAAUGGCUGUAUUUUCGUUGUCUCAGUGUUUAUCAGCAUUCUGAUUUCACCUGAAUGGAGAAGAUGGCGAGAAAAUAAUCACAGAUCAAGAUUCAAAAAUUAGAACCUUUUUCAUGUUUCAGGAGGUUAAAAGAAAGUCGAAAGAUGGGAAUGACAAUAUUUUUACAUUAUAAACAUGCUUAAGUUACUUUUCGAAUAGAAGAUGGUUUGACACCUAUUAUCUAUUCUGAAAAUUUUCUAAUGUCCUCGUUAGCCUACUGGCCUACUCACAAGGGAUCACCUUCUGUCAGUAGGGACACACGAUGAACCCUGAAUGGACAGAGGGUGGUCUGUUUGCUGACGAGUUUGCGUGAAUUCCAACAAAUGUCUGUAACAUUUUAAGAUCAUUUAAUAAUAUUUAUUAAUAAUAAUCGUUUAGCGGACAAUAUCCCAUUGAAUUAACUAAAUUUAGUUAAACUAAUAAUUAAAUAAAUACUAUGUCCAA
Molecule: non-coding RNA, 829 nt
Organism: Tetranychus urticae (two-spotted spider mite)
Lineage: Eukaryota; Metazoa; Arthropoda; Arachnida; Trombidiformes; Tetranychidae
Source: RefSeq, a predicted model, not a curated record